This 253-nucleotide ribosomal RNA is filed under the name uncultured bacterium. Its description in RNAcentral is "partial 16S ribosomal RNA". It matches the Rfam family "Bacterial small subunit ribosomal RNA", at positions 524 to 776 of the family's 1533-position model. The record is from RNAcentral.
UACGUAGGGUGCAAGCGUUAAUCGGAAUUACUGGGCGUAAAGCGCACGCAGGCGGCCCGGCGCGUGGGGUGUGAAAGCUGGCGGCUUAACUGCCAGACGCCAUCCCAUACGGCUGGGCUCGAGCCCUGCAGAGGUCCAUGGAAUUGCCGGUGUAGUGGUGAAAUGCGUAGAGAUCGGCAGGAACACCCAGGGGGAAACCAGUGGACUGGGCAGGAGCUGACGCUCAGGUGCGAAAGCGUGGGGAGCGAACCGG